UUUUCUUUUCUUUUUUAAUUCAAUUUUCUUUCAAUUUCACAUUUCUGAUUUUAUUUUCUACUACUUGAUUUUAUAUCUAUUAUUUUCAUCAAUUGUUUUUAUUUCUUUAUUUUUGAUUUUAUCUUUAUGUUGCAAUAAUUUUCAUUUUAUUAGUAGUAUAAUUUGAUUAAUUUCAUUUUAAUUAUAUUUUAAUUCUAUUUUUUUUUGCAAUUUAAUCUUCAUUUUAUUUUUAGCAUAAUAA
Molecule: long non-coding RNA, 241 nt
Filed under: Lathyrus oleraceus (garden pea)
Lineage: Eukaryota; Viridiplantae; Streptophyta; Magnoliopsida; Fabales; Fabaceae
Description: Pisum sativum (pea) long non-coding RNA (PSAT_LNC000650)
Source: RNAcentral